UACGGAGGGUGCGAGCGUUAAUCGGAAUUACUGGGCGUAAAGCGUACGCAGGCGGUUUGUUAAGCGAAUGUGAUGAACCCCGGGCUCAACCUGGGAACUGCAUUUCGAACUGGCAAACUAGAGUGUGAUAGAGGGUGGUAGAAUUUCAGGUGUAGCGGUGAAAUGCGUAGAGAUCUGAAGGAAUACCGAUGGCGAAGGCA
This 200-nucleotide ribosomal RNA is filed under the name uncultured bacterium. RNAcentral describes it as "partial 16S ribosomal RNA". It matches the Rfam family "Bacterial small subunit ribosomal RNA", at positions 524 to 723 of the family's 1533-position model. The record is from RNAcentral.